GACGAACGCUGGCGGCGUGCUUAACACAUGCAAGUCGAACGGAAAGGCCUGCUUUCCCUUGUGGAUUGCGGGUACUCGAGUGGCGAACGGGUGAGUAACACGUGAGUGAUCUGCCCCCAACUUGGGUAUAAGCCUGGGAAACUGGGUCUAAUUCCCGAUAGGACUGCAGGGUUGUGCCUGUGGUGGAAAACGAUUUUCUAGUGGUUGGGGAUGAGCUCGCGGCCUAUCAGCUUGUUGGUUGGGUAAUGGCCUACCAAGGCGGCGACGGGUAGCCGGCCUGAGAGGGUGGACGGCCACAUUGGGACUGGGAUACGGCCCAGACUGGUACGGGAGGAAGCAGUGGGGAAUAAUGGACAAUGGGCGGAAGGCUGAAGGAGCGACGGAGGGUGGGGGAUGACGGGCGUCGGGUUGUAAACUACUUGGGAAAGAGAGGAAGGCACCUGGUUGGAAGGGUGGUGACGGUAGUGGUAGAAGAAGCACCGGCUAACUACGUG
RNAcentral lists this ribosomal RNA (494 nucleotides) under uncultured bacterium. RNAcentral describes it as "partial 16S ribosomal RNA". It matches the Rfam family "Bacterial small subunit ribosomal RNA", at positions 28 to 507 of the family's 1533-position model. The record is from RNAcentral.